Molecule: ribosomal RNA, 535 nt
Filed under: Phyllomedusa camba
Lineage: Eukaryota; Metazoa; Chordata; Amphibia; Anura; Hylidae
Description: partial 16S ribosomal RNA
Rfam family: Bacterial large subunit ribosomal RNA
Source: RNAcentral
AGUGACUCUGUUUAACGGCCGCGGUAUCCUAACCGUGCGAAGGUAGCGUAAUCACUUGUUCUUUAAAUGAGGACUAGUAUGAAUGGCAUCACGAAGGUUAUACUGUCUCCUUUUCCUAAUCAGUGAAACUAAUCUUCCCGUGAAGAAGCGGGAAUAAACCUAUAAGACGAGAAGACCCUAUGGAGCUUCAAACUUUUCAGCAAUUAUCUUCACUUUUACAAACUUCCCUGAACAAUAAAAUUAAUCCAGAUAACAUGUCUGCAAGUUUUCGGUUGGGGUGACCACGGAGCAAAACUUACCCUCCGCAAUGAAUUAGAAUUCCAUUUCUAAACAAAGAAUUACAAUUCUAUGUAUCAAAAAAUUGACACAAUUGACCCAAUACUUUGAUCAACGAACCAAGUUACCCUAGGGAUAACAGCGCAAUCCAUCUCAAGAGCUCUUAUCGACAGAUGGGUUUACGACCUCGAUGUUGGAUCAGGGUAUCCCAGUGGUGCAGCCGCUACUAAAGGUUCGUUUGUUCAACGAUUAAAACCCU